This 361-nucleotide ribosomal RNA is filed under the name uncultured soil bacterium. Its description in RNAcentral is "bacterial SSU rRNA". It matches the Rfam family "Bacterial small subunit ribosomal RNA", at positions 151 to 550 of the family's 1533-position model. The record is from RNAcentral.
GGGAAACCUGGGCUAAUACCGCAUAACAUCCUCGCAGGCAAAGGUCCGCUGGAGGAGGGGGCUGCGGACGAUUAGCUAGUUGGUGAGGUAACGGCUCACCAAGGCGAUGAUCGGUAGCCGGCCUGAGAGGGCGCACGGCCACACUGGCACUUUAACACGGGCCAGACUCCUACGGGAGGCAUUAGUGGGGAAUUUUGCACAAUGCCCGAAAGGGUGAUGCAGCAACGCCGCGUGAGGGAUGACGGCCUUCGGGUCGUAAACCUCUUUCGACUGGGAAAAAUGAUGGUACCGGUGGAAGAAGCCCCGGUCAACUACGUGCCAGCAGCCGCGGUAAUACGUAGGGGGCGAGCGUUGUUCGGAA